RNAcentral lists this ribosomal RNA (519 nucleotides) under uncultured eukaryote. RNAcentral describes it as "SSU rRNA". It matches the Rfam family "Eukaryotic small subunit ribosomal RNA", at positions 1161 to 1699 of the family's 1831-position model. The record is from RNAcentral.
AGGGCACCACCAGGAGUGGAGCCUGCGGCUUAAUUUGACUCAACACGGGGAAACUUACCCGGCCUGGACACUGGAAGGAUUGACAGAUUGAGAGCUCUUUCUUGGUUCAGUGGGUGGUGGUGCAUGGCCGUUCUUAGUUGGUGGAGCGAUUUGUCUGGUUAAUUCCGAUAACGAACGAGACUCUAGCCUAUUAAAUAGGCUCUCGGCUUUUAAACGCCGGGAGGACUUCUUAGAGGGACAGGUGGCGGUUCAGCCGCACGAAAGAGAGCAAUAACAGGUCUGUGAUGCCCUUUGUUGUCCGGGGCCGCACGCGCGCUACACUGAAGAGAUCAGCGUGCUUUACGUUCCUGCUCCGACCGGAGUGGGGAACCCAGUGAACCUUCUUCGUGAUUGGGAUAGAAGAUUGUAAUUAUUCUUCUUGAACGAGGAAUUCCCAGUAAAUGCGAGUCAUAAGCUCGCGUUGAUUACGUCCCUGCCCUUUGUACACACCGCCCGUCGCUACUACCGAUUGAACGAUUU